CUGGUUUCGGGCAAACUACUGACACAGGAACGUCUGUCUUUUGCCGCCUCUCCAGAGAGAGUUUCAAACUGCUGGUCGGGGUCGAGGGGUUAGAGUUCAGAGUCGCAACUGCUCACAGACGCUACCAUCCAAGUCAGCGUCGGUGAUAUAUAUGCCUCACACACACAAAACAUUCAAGGAGAAAGCCAGCAACCCCCCACCCCUCCUCCUUGCAUCUGCUGUGCAGGUAAUCAGUAGAAAGUGUGCACACUCUGGAAUGUCACAACCAGGCAGGGGGGUUACGGUUCGGAUGGUCUCUCACAAGGCAUACUCAUCAAAUUUCUUAUACUGCUUUAUCACACUUUCACUGUGAAGUCUGAACUUAAUACGCUAUUAAUUUGCUGCGGUAUGACAGAUUCACACCUCCUUUCACACGAGCUGUCAGGAGGCCUAAUGGGUUUUUAGUCUCUCAUAGCGGGCUGCCACAUAAUAGCCAAUCUAAAAAGUCUUUCUAUAUUAGCUUCCAUCAUGAUCUAACAGGAGGGAAUUCUUCCUCCACUAUCCACCACUAUCUGCAACUAUUUUUUUUAUUACCUUUUUAGAGUACAACGUUGCAGUUUAUAAUUGAGUUAGGGUCUUACUUAUGCAUAAAGACACUUAUGCAAGUUGAGAACCUUAACCCAUGUCAACAAUAGUGCUUCUCUUCCCUCCCUUCAUCCAUCACUGUCCACUCUCUCCUCCCUCAGUCUCCCUUUCUCUUUUAUUAUUCCACAUCCAGCCCACCCCCGCGCUUUCUCCUGCUUUGUCCCGUCUCUUAAGGCUGACAUAAUAAACUGGAGCUCUUCAUCCAGGCUAAUUUCUCAACACUAACCCCUUUCUUCACCUCAGCCUACACCCGGGCUGCUACCUCUCCCCCUACUUCAUUCCCCUUCACUGCGACACCCAAAAUGUAUUUACUUUUUUUUUUUCAUGGUUUAAAUACAUGUUUUAUACAGGAAGAGCCUUUGCGGUUGUAACACUCAUGUAAAUAAUUACUGGCUUCUUUGCAAAUUACCAGCAAAUGCAAAUCUGAUGAAAGUUUACAUAUUCCCAAAAUAGAGCGUGGAUAUAAAGCUGCGAUGUUUUUAGAGGUACUAAGUGCUCAUAACUUAAGACAACAUAAUUUCAAAAGUCCUGACCUAUUCCUGUAAUAUGCUGUGGGAGUGGGGAUCACAAAAAAUAGAAUCUGUUCAUCAAAUAUAUUUUUUUUAUUCAAAAAGAUUUAAAAAGGACUUAUUGUAAUUGUAAGAGCACAUCUAAUGUUCCCAGCUCUGCCUUCAGGGGGCGACAGUGAGCUUCCAGUAGACACCAGUCUGCUAUACUAUGCAAGUAUGCAUGAAAUGCUAUGAAUGGCCAGGGCACACACACACACACACACACACACAUAUAUAAUCUUGUUCACUUGUAAUGUGACAACAUUAUGUGUAGAGUGGCCUCUCCCGUGUUAGCAGAGAAGGACUCUGUCCUGCUAUGGUGGAAAACUACUGGGGCCAAAACAGAGGAAGGUCUGUGAGAAAGAGGGGAAACUGAUGGGAGAAGUGGAAGGGGGGGAUCUGGGUGUGUGGGGGAAGUCUGGACUAUAGAUAAGGAAGCAAGAGAAUGAAGUGAAGACAAAUAACAGAGGUGCAUGGAUACCUUAACGCCAUCGCCAUGGACAAAAUAAAGACACAAGUAUAUUAGUUUCUAUUUACUAGCAUCCCAAGCUGGCUCUGUAUAUAAAGUAACAAGACAGUUAUACCAGCUGGGCCGUGAUGCUGAUAAAGGACCCUGAUUAUGAAUGGAAGAGCAGUGUGUAUCUGAUUGUGCUUCUGCACGAUGAAUCUCAUCAGGGGGAUUACAGUGAGACUGACAGAACAGAGCUUACAUCACCACGUCUUACAUUAUAUAGCGGCUGGAUGAUAAAAAUUUUGUGUUUCUAGGUCAGGUGGUCAGAUUAGAAACUGUAAUCUGACAGUUUGAGGAUGUGCUAGUAUGGAUGUGCGUUCGUACUCUGGUGGCUCUGGAGUUGGUGGAUAUGGAAUAAAGAUUAAAAAAGCGAAGAGAAGAAAUGGAAAGAGCAUAUACAAAAUAUGUAGUAAUGCUAGCUGCAGCCAUGCUAAGCAAUGAUUUCAGAUGCUAUAAAAGGAUUUUAAAUGUGUCUUCUGUAAUUUUGUCUGUUUAACAGCAACAGCUCUCGCACAAGGCAGAUAACCUAUAACUCGUAAACAGAAAUCAGAUUUGGUUCUAAUUGGUUUUGGGGUUACAAAAAUCAAAGAUUGGAUAUUGGUAACAAACUUCUAAUCGGUGCAUCUCCAGGUUGGGGUGACAUCAACCACCUUUACCACUUGGAACAUAUAGUCCAGCGGCAGACCUGCCUGCUUCAUCAGCAUCAAGGCUGAGAUAAGCAGAAUAUUACAUUACACCAGACUCCUGAUAAAUUAUAUCUGGAAGACCCAGUCCACUGAAGAUGGAUGAUGAUGGUGUUAUAACAGAGAUAAGGUGACGUAUACUAUUAAUAAGAAAAAGAGACAAAGAACGGCAAGGCCCGGGGUCAAAAUGGGAGGAAACCCAGCUGUUGGAGGGCUGGGGAGAGGAACAGACAGGUACAGAGGGAGAAAAAAAAAAAAACACUUGCACGCACAGCUGACAGAGUUGAGUGUAGUAACAGUAGGCUGGAAUGCUGUCUGUGGCUAAUAUUAACACCCCGGUCCUCCCCUUUUUAGCCCCACCCCCCCCCAGUGGACUGUGCAUGAGUGUGUGUGAGUCACACACUCGUCAAGUCUCGGCGAGGCUGCCUACGGUAAAAAGGCCACUCCUUUCUCGCUCUCUGACGUUCAGGUGGAGUCAUGUGCUGUCAGUCCAAAACAAAAAUACGCCUGGUGCCAGUUAAACCCGGUUAUGGGCCAGCGUAAGUUCAACCUCUCCCCAUGAAGCACUAAUAAGCGCUCGUGCAAGCCAAAUCACGUAGCGGAAAAACAGGACUUCACCUGUCACGUAGGGAAAAGUAGCAUGCAAACACAGUUGCGUAUCAAAUCACUGCGAGAGAUUAGGCCACAAUUGCUGAGGCUUCCUGACAAGAUGGCAAAUUAUUCAUGUCUCUAUAGUGCCCGACAUGAAUGAGCAGACUGCUGCCAUCUGGUCACUGUCCUCCUCCUGUAAGAUAAAUCUGUGCAGCCUCACAAUUAGGCCAAGGAUCAAUUAGCAUCAAUUAUCUGUGGAGCGUACAGAUGGAUCAAUGCAGUCCGAUUAACAGGAGACUGAUGGAUCACAUGGGAAUGGUUCAGGGCAGGUGGGAUGCAAUAGAAAAAGAAAUAGUGAAAAGAAUACAUUUGGAAGGAAAUAAAAUAAGACCAAGAAUUAUCCUGAUUUCCUAACAUUUGGGGCACAUUAAUAGAGGGUAUGACACUAAAAGUUGAUUCUCUGUCUAGUUUAUCUGUGUCAGUCUAUGUUUAGACAUGCAGAAGAAGGGAUUAGUCUUUUUCUAUAAUUUUUUUACCCCCUCGUUUGGUUACGCAACCCCCAUUUGACAGCAGAAAUAGUCCAGGGUCAGAUUAGUGACAGCACAAGAACUGACUUUCCAUUUGAUCGAGCCAUUCUCUUGUUUUCCUGCCCCUCUGUCCGUCUGCCCCGUCUUACUUAAACUCACUCCCAAUGAGCUCCAGUGUCCCUUCCAGGUCCGACCUUAGAUUGUAGGAACCCAUAAAGAGAAUUUCACAUUGGGACUUACCUCUAGUAAAAGUCAUAGCCAACUCAGCGUCACCGGCCCUGCUUUUGUCAAUUGGUUUCUUAAGUUUCAAGUUGGUUUCCACAGUAAUAAUUUGAAGUUUUGUUUUGUUUUUUUUUAAUAUAGAAAAUAGCACGGUGUCCAGUGGUCAUUUUAAGUAAUGUUUGACAAAUAUUUUUUCAAGUUUUGAGCACAUUUUCCAACUGUCUAAAGUUCUAGCUGAAGUGAAAGUUUAACAAAGGAUCCACUGAACAACAUUCAUUAGUUUAGAGCUAUUAAAGUAUCCUUGAAUUACGACAGUUAACGUGCCAUUUACGAUGCCAGUCUUCACUAUCUGUACAAUCAGUGAAUUAUUCAGCCUGUACAUUCUGAAUUUAAGACCCUCAUUAGGUUUCCAAGGCCAGCAGGGGGCAUCUAGGUGAUCACAAGGAUUGUCAAUAAGGCUGGCCCUGGUCUCUGUUUUAUCAGACCCUGGUUACACAUUUUCCCUCAGGUCUUACGUGAACCAGAUUUUUCCCACCUGUUCAGUCUGUCUGAGGUGAUUUAGGCACGUCAUAUUGUUGAAUCACUACAAAUGAUACAAGCACUGCACACUACAUUUACCUUCAGAUCUCCAAUUAAAUUAUCACACCCAUCCAAUUGUUUUUCCCUUUUUAACCACCCUUGUUUUCAUUGAUGAAGGGCAAUUAUAGAGUAACUAAUGUAUUCAAGACAAGACUAACUGUUCAUAAUGGUUUUGCCCUUUCUGCUUCUCGAUGAUGGGUUUUAAUCGACCACACUGGGCAGAAAAAAAAAGAAAAAAACUCAGGGACCGUCCUUCAGCUCAAUUUCAAAAUAAUACUCACUGAGAUGACUCGUACCCCCCCUCCCCACGCUAAAAGCUCAAUAAAUCGCGCUGAGAUACGUCAAGCCUGAUCGAUCCCACUGAGUGGCCGGAUAGCAUUACAUUUCUGACCUCAAAACAAAAUCAUCAGCACUAUACGUGACUCACAGUCUCUGCAGGAUAGAAAUCCUCACCGAUGGAAAAACACACUUUUUCUUUCUUGUCUUGAAUUAGGCAAUUAACUCCCACUUACUAAUAGACACGCCUUUUUCAUGACACACACACCCACACACACUCACAGGUGCAGAGCCAUGCAGACAGCAUGGGCCAAGUUCAUACUCGUCAGUCUAUUUUUUACUAUUAGAGUAUGUCUGAGUCUAUGUGUUACAGUUAAAUAUAGUAGUGAAUGUGUCCAUCUGUCGAGGCAUCCACUCUCUGAUCUAAUAUAAAUAUUUAAAACUGCUAACCACUGAAGCUCAACUUGCCACCUAUAAAACAUCAUGUCACUCGGAUUUUCCCUUUGUUUUUGCAGUUUGUUGCAAACUACUCUCAUGCUACCAAACUUUAAUGCACACUUCCCUCUGAUGACGCCAAAUGGGGCGAAAGGUUACUAAACAGGUAACUACAGAAAGCAAGUUGGCAGAUGGAGGGGAUAAAGUCCAGAGUGUUGAAUGUCUGCGAGACUGUGGCCUCAGCAGGAGAGGGGAUACCCUCGGGCAGGGAUGAACACAUGCUGAGGUGAUCUGCUAUUUCCAUAAAGCUCUCAUCUGCCCCUGUUGGCCUUUAUUGAACAGUAGAGAGGAAAUAGAGAGGAGAUAGAGGGGAAAACAUACCACCACACCUGGUAUGCAACACAGGACAACCACGAGAACUACAGCCUCGACGCAAUGAUCUAUGAAAUGAGCCACCCAGCGCCGCCAAACCUUUAAGACUA
Molecule: long non-coding RNA, 5478 nt
Organism: Poecilia reticulata (guppy)
Lineage: Eukaryota; Metazoa; Chordata; Actinopteri; Cyprinodontiformes; Poeciliidae
Source: RefSeq, a predicted model, not a curated record